Molecule: long non-coding RNA, 3674 nt
Organism: Helianthus annuus (common sunflower)
Lineage: Eukaryota; Viridiplantae; Streptophyta; Magnoliopsida; Asterales; Asteraceae
Exons: 10
Source: RefSeq, a predicted model, not a curated record
UUAUAAACCUGAGUCAGCAGAAGGCUCUUAUUUGAGUCACACGUAGCAGUCUUCAUACCACCUAAGCUAUACAAACCACCUACAACCAUGUUUUCAACCCAUUUCUACAAAGAAAUCGUGAUAGAAAAAGAGGAGCCGGAGAAUCAAGAGAGAUGGAGAUGGUUGUUGGCGGCGGCAGCGACGAUGGGAACUACGGCGGUAGCGAUGUUUUCCACGGUGGCUAGGGUUCAAUUUCGACGAUGGUAUCAAGCAAAGAUUUUUACCGAUUCAGACCAUGGCGUGUGUGAUUUUCUAUAGUAAAUCAUCAUCUCAACCUAAUAUCCCAGUUAAAGUUCUGUGAGUUGAGCUUGGAGGCUGAAAUCAAGAACUUUGGGCUCAACAGUGGGAGGUUUUCAUCAACACCGGUGUUUCACAUCUUCCUUCUUGUUUGCUAAGUAACUUUAGGUUUACGUAUUGUUUUUAAUUCUUCAAAAGGUUUACAUCUUUAUGCUACCAAAAGGCUCUAAGGUAGACAAUGUAAACAAGCCAGGAAUAUUGCUGGAAGUGGUUCAAAUUCUUGCAGACCUUGAUCUUAUUAUUACUAAAGCCUACAUUUCCUCUGGAGGAUGGUUCAUGGAUGUGUUUCAUGUGAUGUGACUGACCAACAAGGAAAAAAGAUAAAUGACAAUAUGACCAUUGAAUACAUAGAAAAGGUAUGUCUUCUCUUCAACUUAUACCGAAUAUUAUGGCAUAAAUAGAUCAUUCAGAGGCUUGGUUUUAAAAAGCGAGAGGCACACAAAAGCGACGAGGUUUAAAAUUGAGGCGCAAAGUGCAAAAGCGGUGGGCUUUUCGUACCCGAGGCGCAAGGUGUUUAUAUAAUUUUUUUUAUAUAUCCCGUACAUAUCCCAUAGGUUUUUUGCUUCCUUUAACCAAAAUAUAGCUAUAAAUAACGCUUUUAUACCAUUUUACUUACAUGUACAAGUCAAAAAACCCAAGGUACAAUAUUUUUAUGCACUAAAACGCCUCAUAUACAUGAGGCGCACGCCUCAGGCCAAAAAGCCCCCAAAAACCAUCAAAAAAAUGCGCCUUUUGGUCGCUUCCUGUAAUUACACAAGGCGCUGAGCAAAAAAGCCCCAGGCCCUGCGCCUAGGGAGCGCUUUUUAAAACCAAGUUCAGAGGUGGCGAUUUCUUCGGAUUGGAUGGUAUUUGAUAUGAUAUCUAACAAGUGAGAGGUGUAAACUUUGAAGGCUUGGUUGAACAUGUAAUGGGUUAGAAGUGAUCGAUUGGGUCUUUUCUUCAACUUAUACCGAACACUAAAAAACCCGCGGUCACCGAAUGGGUAUUAAACUAGAUUUUGUUGAAUAUACAAAAACUUACCUAGGAUAUGCAACCUUCUUUACAACACUUAGUUCAGUGUUUGAUUUGGUUGAUUUUUUGUACAGGUACUGUGGUUAAUUUUAAAUACAUGAUCUUCAUACUUUUUGCUGUUAAUUUGUAGUUACAAAGUGAUAAUUUGCUCGGAUCUGCUUAAAAUUUUAUUGCUCCAUGAUUUAAAAAAUCUGGUGAUGGGAUUGUUGAGCUGUGCAGUGAGCAAAAUAUAAUGACUGUUCUAGCCCCAUUAUUUAACUUCCCUUUCGAUAGUGUUUGUGGUGCAAGUUCUCGAUAGUGUUUCCACCAUUUGAUAUAGUGUAAGCUACGUGUAAUGGUGUAAGCAACUUUGAUGCUAGCUACAAUAGUAUAAAGCCCUGUGAGCCUGCAAGUGAUUCUUGCAUUUUGGCAAGAAGAAAAGUACAUAGAGAACAUGGAAGGUUUGAUAAAGAAUAUGUGAUGCGGUGAGGAAGUUGGGCCAGAACCGUAAAUGCCUUUGUGUCGUUAUCUUGUCAAGAACUGCCAAGAGUUCUGGGGUGAAGCUAGAGAUUGUUAUGACCAUUCUGAAACAAUGCAAUAUAGCUGAUCGUCCUAUUGGUUAUCAAUGUGGAGCUUAUAUAGUGCCUUGAAAACUUGAAGGCUAUUAGUUUCGAUGGAAGUUGUACCAGUCUUGUGCCAAGCGCAAGAGAGAGAGAAAGGGAUUACGUAGAGAGAGGGAGAAAGAGGCAGGGAGGAGAAACGACGACGUCGUUUAGGGUUCCGCCGCAAACACAAUGUCGGUGGCGACUGUGAUUGACGUUGCAAGCUCCGGUUCUGUCAAGAGAAGAAUAUUUGAUACUUUUUCAGCAUAAUUCGGUAAUAUUGAAUCAGUUCCAGUGAAGCUCCGAGCGGAAAGUGGUAAAAGCCAGUCUCGAAGGUGAGUUUUCUGAUUAAUUAAUUUUUUGCAUUUUUUAUUUAUGAUUUCGUAAGAAAAGUAUUUAGGUCGGGUCAUUCGGUUUUUAAAAGAAUUUUGGGCCGCAAUUGAAUCAUAUUGGAACUAAAAAACAUGUAUACGUAUGUAAAGAAAACUAUGAUAAACAAUUAUAAUAUAUUAAAUAAUAAAAAACUAUAUAUUAUUAUAUAAAUAAAGGUACUAUUCAUCAGCUCUCUGGCUUAAAACGUUAGCAAGUUGUUAGAUCCUGAAGGGAUCGGUACCUCUGGCCACCCAAUUGACGGUUGCACAAUCGAUGGUGUCCUUUUCCACCGCCUUACACCAGGUACACAUAUUUGGGGAUUUCUUUGAAUUUCAUUGAUAUCUUUUUUAUAUAUAUAUUAAUUGUGAGAUUGAUCGCUUUUUUAUUUGCUUUUUAAAAGCCUUUCAAGUUUUAGGGAUAUGAUGUGUAAUUAACUUUCUAAUUAAAGCUCAUUACUAUUCAAAUAAAAUAUGAUGUGUAAUCCGUAUCGUGGACCUAAUUUGGUUGUUGAAGACGAGCCAGGGAUGAAGGAGGAGCAAGCGGCGUUUAUGAAGGAGCUAGAGACUUUCCACUAGGGCAGAGAAGAGAAACGGUGGCGUAGUUUAGGGUUCCGUCGCAAACACAACGCCGGUGGUGACUGUGGUUGACGUUGCAAGCUCUGGUUCUGGCAAGAGAAGAAUAUUUGAUACUUUUUCAGCAUAAUUCGGUAAUCUUGAAUCGGUUCCGGUGAAGCUCCGAUGAACCGUUCAACACUUGCAUGUCUCAGAUCUGUUUAGAUCGGUGACUCUCAGGCCACCAUCGAUGGGUUAGGGAGGGAGCUGUGGCACAUGAAGACUUUGAGGGGCAUAAAAUGACUAUUGGAGCUGGUGAUUUGCAGUGGAUGACUUACAGAUAGACAUAAGAGGGAUGGGAAUCAUUGGGACGGCUACUCGUGUAUGGAUUGAUAGAUAAAAAUUGUUGAGCUUUGGAAACCCAAAACAUAUCGGAUGGGGCUUCUGGUGUGGAAGUGCUAAAAAAGUCAAGGGUCGAGUUCGGUAUCAGGUGAUACCUUAGCCGAGUAAAAGGAUUUUUGAAGACUAUUAUUCUAUUAGGAUGCUUUUAAUGAUGAUUGGGAGCCUCGGGUUAGUGGUCAAGACUAAUGUUCAUGAUAUUUGGGUCAAAGAAAAAUGUUAAUUGCAUAUCUCAACAAGUUAUAUUUAUUUGUGAAUGUGUUCUUGCUGUUGUAAUCUCAUUUGCCAUUCUUGCUUUGGUAGACUUAAAGAUCAUGAUGUAUGAUAUAGAUGCAUAGACAGGUUACCAUCUUCGGUAUAGAAAGGUAGAUAAGAAGACUUUGUACAACAUUUUUGUUAUUUUUUUUUUUAUUUUUGGCACUAA